GAAAUUCGCCUUCAUGAAGCUGGAAUUGCUAGUAAUGGCAGGUCAGCAUACUGCCGUGAAUACGUUCCCGGGCCUUGUACACACCGCCCGUCACACCAUGAGAGUUGGGAAUACCCGAAGCCUGUGAGCCAACUUUUAAAGAGGCAACAGUCGAAGGUAGAAUCAAUGAUUGGGGUGAAGUCGUAACAAGGUAUC
This 195-nucleotide ribosomal RNA is filed under the name uncultured bacterium. Its description in RNAcentral is "partial 16S ribosomal RNA". It matches the Rfam family "Bacterial small subunit ribosomal RNA", at positions 1307 to 1500 of the family's 1533-position model. The record is from RNAcentral.